CAAUAGCGUAUAUUAAAGUUGUUGCAGUUAAAAAGCUCGUAGUUGGAUUUCUGGUAGGAUGACUGUGCCCUCAGUAGAGUGUGCGCUGGCGUCUUGCCAUCCUUCUGUUAACUUUUGGGAGCUUCACCGCUCCCUUUGGGGCUCAGAUAUUUUACCUUGAGAAAAUUAGAGUGUUUCAGGCAGGCUAGCGCCGGAAUACAUUAGCAUGGAAUAAUGGAAUAGGACUUUUGCCUCUUCUGUUGGUCAUGGGGUUCGAGUAAUGAUUAAUAGGGAUAGUUGGGGGCAUUAGUACUUCACUGUCAGAGGUGAAAUUCUCGGAUUUGUUAAAGACGGACUACUGCGAAAGCAUUUGCCAAGGAUGUUUUCAUUGA
Molecule: ribosomal RNA, 371 nt
Filed under: uncultured eukaryote
Lineage: Eukaryota
Description: partial 18S ribosomal RNA
Rfam family: Eukaryotic small subunit ribosomal RNA
Source: RNAcentral